This 253-nucleotide ribosomal RNA is filed under the name uncultured bacterium. Its description in RNAcentral is "partial 16S ribosomal RNA". It matches the Rfam family "Bacterial small subunit ribosomal RNA", at positions 524 to 776 of the family's 1533-position model. The record is from RNAcentral.
UACGGAGGAUGCAAGCGUUAUCCGGAAUGAUUGGGCGUAAAGGGUCCGCAGGUGGCAGUGUAAGUCUGCUGUCAAAGAAUGAGGCUUAACCUCAUCAAGGCAGUGGAAACUACACAGCUAGAGUACGGUCGGGGUAGAAGGAAUUCCUGGUGUAGCGGUGAAAUGCGUAGAGAUCAGGAAGAACACCGGUGGCGAAAGCGUUCUGCUAGACCUGUACUGACACUGAGGGACGAAAGCUAGGGGAGCAAACAGG